CCCUACGGGGGGCAGCAGUGGGGGAUAUUGCACAAUGGGGGGAACCCUGAUGCAGCGACGCCGCGUGGGUGAAGAAGCGCCUCGGCGCGUAAAGCCCUGUCGGCAGGGAAGAAAAUGACGGUACCUGAAGAAGAAGCCCCGGCUAACUACGUGCCAGCAGCCGCGGUAAUACGUAGGGGGCAAGCGUUAUCCGGAUUUACUGGGUGUAAAGGGGGCGCAGACGGCGAUGCAAGCCAGGAGUGAAAGCCCGGGGCCCAACCCCGGGACUGCUCUUGGAACUGCGUGGCUGGAGUGCAGGAGGGGCA
RNAcentral lists this ribosomal RNA (305 nucleotides) under uncultured bacterium. RNAcentral describes it as "partial 16S ribosomal RNA". It matches the Rfam family "Bacterial small subunit ribosomal RNA", at positions 337 to 659 of the family's 1533-position model. The record is from RNAcentral.